This 305-nucleotide ribosomal RNA is filed under the name uncultured bacterium. RNAcentral's name for it is "bacterial SSU rRNA". It matches the Rfam family "Bacterial small subunit ribosomal RNA", at positions 337 to 639 of the family's 1533-position model. The record is from RNAcentral.
UCCUACGGGCGGCAGCAGUGAGGAAUAUUGGUCAAUGGGCUUACGCCUGAACCAGCCAAGUCGCGUGAGGGAAGACUGCCCUAUGGGUUGUAAACCUCUUUUGUCAGGGAGCAACGCCGGCUACGUGUAGCCGGACUGAGAGUACCUGAAGAAAAAGCAUCGGCUAACUCCGUGCCAGCAGCCGCGGUAAUACGGAGGAUGCGAGCGUUAUCCGGAUUUAUUGGGUUUAAAGGGUGCGUAGGCGGAAUGCCAAGUCAGCGGUAAAAUCGCGGGGCUCAACCUCGUUCCGCCGUUGAAACUGGCGU